CAACGCGCCUCUAUUGUUGAGGGUGGCUUGUACCUGGGCCGCGAAGGUAAUGCGUGGAGAAGCAGCGUCGCUUAUACAAGAUGUUGAUGGAAUUUACUAUAUUAUUAAAGGAAAAAAAAAAUCCCCUUUCAAGAAUAAAGUGUAUCAAUUUACAACACAA
Agelaius phoeniceus (red-winged blackbird) is the source of this 160-nucleotide non-coding RNA. The record is from RefSeq and is a predicted model, not a curated record. NCBI's taxonomy places the organism in Eukaryota, Metazoa, Chordata, Aves, Passeriformes, Icteridae.